RNAcentral lists this small RNA (1723 nucleotides) under Pan troglodytes (chimpanzee). RNAcentral describes it as "retained intron". Lineage: Eukaryota; Metazoa; Chordata; Mammalia; Primates; Hominidae. The record is from RNAcentral.
CCGACGCUGAUGUCCUGGCGUCCCUGGCCACGCCCCGGAAGCGCCCCCUGGCGGUCGCAGUCGCGGUCCAGGGGCAGGGUUCCUGGCAAUACUUGUCUUGGCCGCGCUCAAAGGCUGGAGGCCCCGUCCGGGGUGUGCGCCUUCUCCCGCCCGGCGCCCUCGGCUCUCCCCUUCGGGCCUCCGGGGAAGCGUCCCCGCUAGGGGUGGGGUCUUGGGACUCCCUGGGGCUUCCGGAGCUGACCCGUGGGGGGUCUCCUGCCCUCAGUUCCUGCUGACCAAAGUCCUGCCGGAUCUGGCGCCUACGAGGACGUGGCGGGUGGAGCUCAGACCAGUGGGCUAGGUUUCAACCUGCGCAUUGGGAGGCCGAAGGGUCCCCGGGACCCGCCUGCUGAGUGGACCCGGGUGUAAGUCUACGCUAGUUCCUGCCUGUUGCCUCUUGUGAGCUCGGACUGCUGAUGCCCCGGCGCUGCUGAGCGCCGUGCGCAGAAUGGAAACAGUGGGCCUGGAUCAAAGUUAAAGUUUCUCAGGGUGGGAAAUGUGGGGGCUUUGCCCCAAUGACUGUAGCAUUCAAGGCUUGAGGCUGGAGGAGGUAGCUAGGGUAUAGUGGCUGGUGAGGCUGCACAGAGCAGAUUCAAGAAAGAAGAUCAGGAAGGGGCAUGACCCCUGAGUUAUGAAGGGGAGAAGGGACAGAUGAGCUUCCGGAGACUGCUCUCCUCACCAUAUAGCACUAGUCCAUCCUCAGCACCUCAGCCUCCCUCACUUGGACACUCAGGGGACCACACAGAGAAGUGGAUGGACACUUCGCCAUCCAGGCAGAACUAAGCCAGGCAUAACCACAGCCAAGCAGAUUAACCCCAGGCAGACCGAUAAAAAGACCUCCAGAUAGGCAGACAGACAGAUGGACCACCAACCUGGACAGACAGCCAAAGCUUCAGAGAUACAGUCCACAGGUGGACAAAGGGAUCCCCAGCCAGAGAGAGAGAGACCAGCCAACAGCUUGAUAGACCAGUGCAGCCAGAGAGACCACCAAACAGAGCCCCCAAAAGACAGACAUCUCUGCUAGCUGGACAGCCAGGUGGACCCCCUAAGUUAGUCAGAUUACUAGACAGAUAUAAACAGAUCCCCUGCUGAACAGAUACACAGAGUUCUCAGACCCCACCCCCACCCUCAGGUGGGCUGGCUGGCUGACAGACCUUCUGGCCAGACAGACUCCUAACCAACCAGAUGGACUGCCAGACAGGCAGACAUCAGCCACAUGGAAUCCUGACAUCCCAGCCAGCCGGCCAGACUCUCAUCUUGAUGUCUUGAUGGAUGGACCCCAGCUAGUCAGACAUGAUCCUCCAGAUUGACAGACAAGUCCCCCAAAUGAGUACACAUCUCCAGCUAUUCAGACAGAUGGACCCCCAGCAAAUCAGGCCCUAUCUAGGCAGACCCCAGCCAGACCCCCGCCAGACAGACUCCCAACCAGACUGACCCCUUGCUGUUCACACUGCCUGCCGAGUAGCUGGGACUACAGGUCUAAUUUUUUUUUUUUUUUUUAAGAAAUGAGUUUUUGCCAUGUUGCCCAGGCCGGUCUUGAACUCCCAACCUCAAGCAAUCCUCCUGCCUCAGCCUCCCAAAGUGCUGAGAUUACAGGUGUGAGCCACCAGGCUCAGCCCCCUAAGAUUUGAAACACUUUAAAUGGCCCAUGGUAGGGUUCCUGCUAGGAUAAAACAUUAAGCGG